This 341-nucleotide ribosomal RNA is filed under the name uncultured bacterium. RNAcentral describes it as "bacterial SSU rRNA". It matches the Rfam family "Bacterial small subunit ribosomal RNA", at positions 592 to 931 of the family's 1533-position model. The record is from RNAcentral.
AUGUGUAAUCCCCGGGGCUCAACCUGGGAACUGCAUCUGAUACUGGCAAGCUUGACUCUCGUAGAGGGGGGUAGAAUUCCAGGUGUCGCGGUGAAAUGCGUAUAGAUCUGGAGGAAUACCGGUGGCGAAGGCCGCCCCCUGGACAAAGACUGACCCUCAGGUGCCAAAGCGUGGGGAGCAAACCGGAUUAGAUACCCUGGUAGUCCACGCGGUAAACAAUGUCGACUUGGAGGUUGUGCCCUUGAAGCGUGACUUCCGGAGCUAACGCGUUAAGUCGACCGCCUGGGGAGUACGGCCUCAAGGUUAAAACUCAAAUGAAUUGACGGGGGCCCGCACAAGAA